Molecule: non-coding RNA, 406 nt
Organism: Cinara cedri
Lineage: Eukaryota; Metazoa; Arthropoda; Insecta; Hemiptera; Aphididae
Source: the annotation of a GenBank genome assembly
CAAAAAGACAUCUUCGUAAAACUAUACGUUUCAGGAUCUAAAAUACAUAGUUGAUGAAAUUCGAUGGGAUUUAAUUCUACACGAUAUCAAUAGUAAAAGUUGAAAAAGGUUAGGAAAAAACUAUUAAAUGGCAUAAAACAAAAAAUUUUAAACAUGAAACUGACGGAAUUACGAGAACUCAGUUUUCGAUUAUAGCACAAUAUUAUAUUUUAAAAUUCCUGUUUAUUAGUUGACACUGUUGGGUUACCAGAGCCAUACGAAAUUUUCGAUGAAUCCACUAUUUCCUCAACUCCGAUCCUUGGAAGUCGGAUCAAGUAUUAUUAAUCGUGCUCUAAACCUCGUAGACCAUCGGAAAUACAGGGUUUUAUUAAUAUAACUAGCUAAGAAUUAAAUGCUACAAUGUAGG